GAUGAACGCUGGCGGCGUGCCUAAUACAUGCAAGUCGAGCGAACAGACGAGGAGCUUGCUCCUUCGACGUUAGCGGCGGACGGGUGAGUAACACGUAGGUAACCUACCUAUAAGACUGGGAUAACUUCGGGAAACCGGAGCUAACACCGGAUAAUAUUUCGAACCGCAUGGUUCGAUAGUGAAAGAUGGCUUUGCUAUCACUUAUAGCUGGACCUGCGCCGUAUUAGCUAGUUGGUAAGGUAACGGCUUACCAAGGCAACGAUACGUAGCCGACCUGAGAGGGUGAUCGGCCACACUGGAACGGAGACACGGUCCAGACUCCUACGGGAGGCAGCAGUAGGGAAUCUGCCGCAAUGGGCGAAAGCCUGACGGAGCAACGCCGCGUGAGUGAUGAAGGUCUUCGGAUCGUAAAACUCUGUUAUUAGGGAAGAACAAACGUGUAAGUAACUGUGCACGUCUUGACGGUACCUAAUCAGAAAGCCACGGCUAACUACGUG
This 497-nucleotide ribosomal RNA is filed under the name uncultured bacterium. RNAcentral describes it as "partial 16S ribosomal RNA". It matches the Rfam family "Bacterial small subunit ribosomal RNA", at positions 28 to 507 of the family's 1533-position model. The record is from RNAcentral.